This 502-nucleotide ribosomal RNA is filed under the name uncultured bacterium. Its description in RNAcentral is "bacterial SSU rRNA". It matches the Rfam family "Bacterial small subunit ribosomal RNA", at positions 28 to 526 of the family's 1533-position model. The record is from RNAcentral.
GACGAACGCUGGCGGCGUGCCUAAUACAUGCAAGUUGAACGCUAAAGCUUUAACUGGUGCUUGCACCGACUUAAGUUUUUAGAGUAGCGGACGGGUGAGUAACACGUGGGUAACCUGCCCAUCAGAGGGGGAUAACACUUGGAAACAGGUGCUAAUACCGCAUAAUUCCUUUUACCGCAUGGUAAAAGGCUGAAAGGCGCUUCUGGUGUCACUGAUGGAUGGACCCGCGGUGCAUUAGCUAGUCGGUGGGGUAACGGCCUACCGAGGCGAUGAUGCAUAGCCGACCUGAGAGGGUGAUCGGCCACAUUGGGACUGAGACACGGCCCAAACUCCUACGGGAGGCAGCAGUAGGGAAUCUUCGGCAAUGGACGAAAGUCUGACCGAGCAACGCCGCGUGAGUGAAGAAGGAUUUCGGAACGUAAAACUCUAUCAGCAGGGAAGAAAAUGACGGUACCUGACUAAGAAGCCCCGGCUAACUACGUGCCAGCAGCCGCAGUAACAC